UUUCAGUUUCAAGAGGGUAACCAUCACAAACACAAACAUGAUUUCAGGUUAUAAUAAACACCAAGAGGAGACCAGGGCACUGGAGCAGGAGAGAGAAUGUGGCCGCCUCCCGCUUCAUCCUGCAAGAGGAGGGUCUGGGCCGGGAACCGAGGCGGAGGGAGCCAGGCGAACGCCUCAUCUCUGCAGAACCGAGCUUGUCUUCCCCGACGCAGCCCGGCGGCGCGGUGCCAGCGCGGGAGGCGUGUGUGGGUUGUGUUCUGACUGGAGGGUGUCGUCAAGGGCUUUGAUUCCGUUCAGCAUCUCUCAUAUGAGAACCUGCGGCGUACACAACAUUGUUAAUUCAUGGCCAGCGAAGGCGGUUUUAAUUAUAAUGCACAGGACUUUUGGUGGAGGGAACAAUUACUUCUUUCUGUGCUUUUCAGUAGCUCCCUGCCCAGACAUCCCUGACAGACUUUGCACAUUGUCUGUCUGCCUGCCUCGGAGUGGACGGUGCAGACUUCUCAAGGUCGGCAGAACGUUAACAAGGCAUCGUGCAUGUAAUGACAAAAGAGCAAAAGAAGAAUACUCAGGAGUAAACAUCAACAAAAAUUAAAAAUUUAAAGCGAGGUACGGAAAGCCAUGAAACAACCUGAAACGCACCCUCAAACUCCUAGAAACGGGGAAGGCGAGCCACGUUCUCCAAUCAGUCUCGACCCCGAAUGGCAGUGUGCCCUGAGGGACGUGGUGUCAGUCUAUUUCCAGUGAAGUUUCGGUGGCACUGAUUUUCCAGGAGUCGGAGGCGUGUUUCCCGGGAAGGGGCAGCAGCGCGGUGCCCACGUGGAAAUCAUACGAUCGUGUCCACUGUUGCGGUGGCGCCCAGGACAAUGACGGAUGACCCCGAGUUCUAGACGCAAAUGGGGAGCACUGAGGUGCAGCUUCAAGAGCUGGUCGGCGACUGGUGAACCCCUUUAGAGUCCGCAAGUGACUAAGUAGAUUCACCCCCUGGGACGGGGCUCAGAAAGAAAAGGCUGUUUGCUGCUGAUGAUGUAAAAGUGUACGUGUGCGAUAAAAUCUAAGGUGGGCCGGGACUCAGGACGCUGGAGAAAUGUCUUCCACCCCGAGACAGGUGCCACCGCACCCGAGUAUCCCUCCAGGGGCUUAAAAUCAACAGCCCUGCUGAAGGAGAGCACAGAGACUGAUAACUUGCCCAAAAACUGCCCAGGGGAGCGCGUAGAUGACUCUGAAGGUGACGGACGGCGAAGGGAACCGUGAGAGUAGCAGGGAAAGCAGGGUUGUUCUUAGUGCGCAAUCUAAUGUCCCAAGCAGGUGGCGGCCAUUCCUGAAUAAAAAUUAAAAUUUAAAGUUAAAUUUUAGCGGGGCCUGAGGGUGCUGCUCGGGGAUAAAGCAGUCACCUGACAUGUGAAAGGACCUGGGUUUGACCCCUGACAAAGAUGGAUAGGUAGACAGUAGACCGACAGACAGACAGACAGCUUAAGAACCUUCAGUUUAACUUUUAUUUGGUAUUUAAAAAGUGCAUCAGGUGGUUGCUAUGCCUUUGUGUCAGGAUGGCAAAGUAUUAUUAUGAAUGUGCACAAGUACGAAAAAAGGACCAAAUGUCACAUGCGUCUCGUUAAUAACAAUGUGAAAAACAGAUGCACAUGGAGAUAUAGCAAAUAUUUACAUUUUGUUGCUGAAUAAGGAAUGUGACCCUCUAAAUUCUAAUCUCUUCAAAUUCAACCCAUUGGCCACUAUUUAACUUCUAUUUUGGCUGCAAAAGUGUAUCCGGGUUUCUUGUAUGUUUUUCUUUUCCUGUUAGCUCCGGCGUUUAUUUUAUUUGAAAGCUGCAUGAAGGAAUAUGUUCUGAACAGAACUGUGUUUACUUCAUUGUUGCUCUGUGAACACACAUUACUGAGAGCUGCGUCUUUCCCGGGUUCUGGGCGGUCAGCAAGGCCCAGAAUAACAUGGUUAUUCUACAAGGACGUCCCAGAAUAACCCAGGGAAAUUAGCGUCCUCAAAACCUUGUCCUGAGCACGAGAACACGCAGAUGUAAAAUGUGCAGACGCCAAGGCUCCACAAGAUGUGACCCCACCUUCUGGCUUAGUCCCGGGGUGGGACAGUCAUCUUCCCCUUCUCCUUCAUGUUGAAGGGAAAUAUUGAUCUGAAGACAAACCCGUUGUGUUGCAGGACGAAAAUAUAUCAAUAAAGCAGGAAAGGGGUAAAACACGUUGUACUAGGCCGUUUGGAAAA
Long non-coding RNA from Cavia porcellus (domestic guinea pig), 2226 nucleotides. RefSeq lists it as uncharacterized. The transcript has 2 exons. The record is from RefSeq and is a predicted model, not a curated record. Lineage: Eukaryota; Metazoa; Chordata; Mammalia; Rodentia; Caviidae.